AUACGGAGGAUCCGAGCGUUAUCCGGAUUUAUUGGGUUUAAAGGGUGCGUAGGCUGUGCCGCAAGUCAGGGGUGAAAGCCCGGCGCUUAACGCCGGAACUGCCUUUGAUACUGCGGUGCUGGAGUUCGGAUGCCGUGGGAGGAAUGGGCAGUGUAGCGGUGAAAUGCUUAGAUAUUGCCCAGAACACCGAUUGCGAAGGCAUCUCACGAAUCCGCGACUGACGCUGAGGCACGAAAGCGUGGGGAUCAAACAGGAUUAGAUACCCUGGUAGUCCACGCAGUAAACGAUGAUGACUAACUGUCGGCGAUAGACUGUCGGCGGCCAAGCGAAAGCGAUAAGUCAUCCACCUGGGGAGUACGACCGCAAGGUUGAAACUCAAAUGAAUUGACGGGG
RNAcentral lists this ribosomal RNA (393 nucleotides) under uncultured bacterium. RNAcentral's name for it is "partial 16S ribosomal RNA". It matches the Rfam family "Bacterial small subunit ribosomal RNA", at positions 523 to 918 of the family's 1533-position model. The record is from RNAcentral.